RNAcentral lists this ribosomal RNA (393 nucleotides) under uncultured bacterium. Its description in RNAcentral is "partial 16S ribosomal RNA". It matches the Rfam family "Bacterial small subunit ribosomal RNA", at positions 523 to 918 of the family's 1533-position model. The record is from RNAcentral.
AUACGGAGGAUGCGAGCGUUAUCCGGAUUUAUUGGGUUUAAAGGGUGCGCAGGCGGUUUGUCAAGUCAGCGGUGAAACGCAAGGGCUUAACCCUUGACCUGCCGUUGAAACUGAUUGACUAGAAUGCGGAUGCUGUGGGAGGAAUGUGUGGUGUAGCGGGGCAAUGCAUAGAUAUCACACAGAACACCGAUUGCGAAGGCAUCUCACAAAUCCGUGAUUGACGCUGAGGCACGAAAGUGUGGGGAUCAAACAGGAUUAGAUACCCUGGUAGUCCACACUGUAAACGAUGAUGACUCGCUGUCGGCGAUAUACAGUCGGUGGCCAAGCGAAAGCGAUAAGUCAUCCACCUGGGGAGUACGACCGCAAGGUUGAAACUCAAAUGAAUUGGCGGGG